This 240-nucleotide ribosomal RNA is filed under the name uncultured bacterium. RNAcentral's name for it is "partial 16S ribosomal RNA". It matches the Rfam family "Bacterial small subunit ribosomal RNA", at positions 28 to 269 of the family's 1533-position model. The record is from RNAcentral.
GACGAACGCUGGCGGCGUGCUUAACACAUGCAAGUCGAGCGGUAAGGCCCUUUCGGGGUACGACGAGCGGCGAACGGGUGAGUAACACGUGGGUGACCUGCCCUCAGCUCUGGGAUAAGCCCGGGAAACUGGGUCUAAUACUGGAUAUGACUCCACGGUGCAUGCCGUGGGGUGGAAAGCCUUGUGCGGCUGAGGAUGGGCCCGCGGCCUAUCAGCUUGUUGGUGGGGUGANGGCCUACC